AACUGGUCGAUCCUGCCAGUAGUCAUAUGCUUGUCUCAAAGAUUAAGCCAUGCAUGUCUAAGUAUGAAUAGUAUUCUUGAUACUGUGAAACUGCGAAUGGCUCAUUAAAUCAGUUAUAGUUUAUUUGAUAGUUUGCAACUCGUUUUUCGGAGCGGUGUUGUGCUAGACGGAUAGCCGUGGUAAUUCUAGAGCUAAUACGUGCGACAAGGCCCGAGAGAGAGAGGUGUGUGUAUGCACAUUUUUUCCUUUCGAGGGCUGCAUUUGUUAGGUAUAAAGCCAGCAGGAACAUGACUGGUGAAUCAGAAUAACUUUGCUGACCGUUACACUUUUGUGUGUGAUGGUGUCUCAUUCGAAUUUCUGCCCUAUCAACUUUCGAUGGUAAGGUAUUGGCUUACCAUGGUGACAACGGGUGACGGGGAACAUUUGGUUCGAUUCCGGAGAGGGAGCCUGAGAGACGGCUACCACUUCCAAGGAAGGCAGCAGGCGCGCAAAUUACCCAAUCCUGACACAGGGAGGUAGUGACAAUAAAUACCAAUGCACGGUGUUUUUUAUGCACUGUGCAAUUGGAAUGAGAACAAUGUAAAGACCUUAUCAAGGAACAAUUGGAGGGCAAGUCUGGUGCCAGCAGCCGCGGUAAUUCCAGCUCCAAAAGCGUAUACUAAAGUUGUUGCAGUUAAAAAGCUCGUAGUUGGAUUUCAUGCGGGGUUCACGGUGUGUGGUGGGGGUGAGACUCUGUUUCGCCUUUGCCUUGCACUGUUUGCGCUCUGCAGUUUUAAUACUCCCUGGUGGCGCCUUUGGCGCGUGCCCUUGAUUGGGUGUGUGUCAAGUCACGUAGUGGUGGGGCGCUGUUGGGGGCUUUACUUUGAAAAAAUUAGAGUGUUCAAAGCAGGCAGUCAUUUGAUUUGCUUGAAUAGAUUAGCAUGGAACAACGGAAGAGGACUUUUGGGCCUGUACUGUUGGCGUGUGGUGCGGGGGUGUGGAAGAAGAAACCGCAAGGUUUUCUUAUUCCUCCCUCACCACAUCGGGUCUGAAGUAAUGAUUAAUAGGGACGGUUGGGGGCACUGGUAUUUCGUUGUCAGAGGUGAAAUUCUUGGAUUUACGAAAGACCGCCGACUGCGAAAGCAUUUGCCAAGGACGCUUUCAUUGAUCAAGAACGAAAGUUAGGGGAUCGAAGACGAUUAGAUACCGUCGUAGUCUUAACCAUAAACGAUGCCGGCCAGGGCUCGGUGGGCAGCACAAAUCAUUCUGUGAUGGAGGCGCCAUCGGGACCUUAGGGAAACCAA
This is a ribosomal RNA of Salpingoeca rosetta, 1283 nucleotides long. NCBI's taxonomy places the organism in Eukaryota, Choanoflagellata, Craspedida, Salpingoecidae. The record is from RefSeq and is a predicted model, not a curated record.